This 455-nucleotide ribosomal RNA is filed under the name uncultured bacterium. Its description in RNAcentral is "bacterial SSU rRNA". It matches the Rfam family "Bacterial small subunit ribosomal RNA", at positions 340 to 784 of the family's 1533-position model. The record is from RNAcentral.
UACGGGAGGCAGCAGUGGGGAAUAUUGCACAAUGGGCGAAAGCCUGAUGCAGCUAUGCCGCGUGUAUGAAGAAGGCCUUAGGGUUGUAAAGUACUUUCAUCGGGGAGGAAAAAACAAAACUAAUAAUUUUAUUUCUUGACGUUACCCGAAAAAGAAGCACCGGCUAACUCCGUGCCAGCAGCCGCGGUAAUACGGAGGGUGCUAGCGUUAAUCAGAAUUACUGGGCGUAAAGAGCACGUAGGUGGUUUUUUUAAAGUCAGAUGUGAAAUCCCUGGGCUUAACCUGGAACUGCAUUUUGAAACUGAAAUACUAGAGUAUCGUAGAGGGAGGUAGAAUUCUAGGUGUAGCGGUGAAAUGCGUAGAUAUCUGGAGGAAUACCUGUGGCGAAAGCGGCCUCCUAAACGAAUACUGACACUGAGGGUGCGAAAGCGUGGGGAGCAAACAGGGAUUAGAUA